Non-coding RNA from Odocoileus virginianus texanus, 1252 nucleotides. The record is from RefSeq and is a predicted model, not a curated record. NCBI's taxonomy places the organism in Eukaryota, Metazoa, Chordata, Mammalia, Artiodactyla, Cervidae.
GGCCCCGCCCCCAAGCAACCAACUGUGAGCAAGGGUUAGUGAGGCAACUCAAUCAACAGUCAGGGAGUGGUGGUCGUCAGCCAGAGAGUGAGCUGAGAUCCGCUCAUCUGGCCUCAAGUUAGUGGGUGAAGGCUGCAGUGAACCUCUCCGGCAUCCCCGCCUCUGUGACCCAAUGACAGCAGCUGUCUGCAUAGGGAAGCAUCUACUCUUGAGAACCUGGUCAAGCUCCACAAAAGCGGGAACCACUUCUUCGCCAGGGUUCUCCUAGAGUUUUAAUUGUCAGUCUUGUCCACACUGAGUCUCCAGUAAUUUGUCAAUUACAGUUCAGGUGUUCCCACCACAGCACUGGUUUCCAUGGUGUUUUCACUCCUGGGGCUCUGUUCAGCUGGGCAGGAGCCUCCCAUGGCCUGUGCCCGCACAUCACCCCAGGUGACCCUCUGGUGACCGAAGAAAUUGCCGAGCCCACUGAAUUGCCCUUUGUCAAUGGUCCAACACUAAGAUAAGUGGAGACCUGGACCCUCAGAGGAGAAUUUGCUGGAGAAUUCCCUCUACAGAUCAGAAAUAAAAAGGGCCAUUCUCCUUGUGACCCCUCCACAUCUCCACAGUUCAGUGCCACAGAAGGAAAGAAAAAUCACAGCUCUGCUUGCCUGAAUAAAGAGCACAUGUUGGAUUCCCUCUUAAAGUGGCCCCAGGAGACGCUUGGUUGAGAUGAGGGACUUUGAAAGUGGGAUCUGGUUAGCUAUGAUGCAGACAGGAAAUACAGAUAUCACAGACUUUCCAUUUUAACCCGUACUGUGCCUGUUGGUUCCCACACCCAGCUGAGGGCCAGCUGUGGCUAUAGCCUGCAGAGUUCCUCAGGAAUAUUUGUUCACUGUAUCACAGAAAAAGUAAUAUCCCCAGACUCCAUCUGGUUGCUAUCUUUUCUGAUGCAUCCCCCAAACAACUUGUAUAGAAAGCUGUGAGGUGGGAGGGAUACUAACUUGGCCCCUCCCAGACUGUGGGAGGAGAGACAGGUGGUCAGAGCUCAGAAGAGGAUGUGGCACUGUGAGGCUUCAUAGAGGUGGGGCCAGAGCCCCUUUGAGGACAUUUCAUUCAGAGCUGAGGGAAGCCGGAGUGCUCACAACCCUCUCCUCUCUGCACCCCAUUACCUCCUGUUCCCAACGGCCUCUUUGCUAUUCCUCAAACAUGGUCCCCCCAUGGGCCAUUUGUACCUGCUGAUCCUCUGGACUGUUCUUCCCCCAGUGCCCACACG